CCUACGGGUGGCAGCAGUGAGGAAUAUUGGACAAUGGACGAGAGUCUGAACCAGCCAAGUAGCGUGAAGGAUGACUGCCCUAUGGGUUUUAACCUUCUUUUAUAUGGGAAUAAGAUGUUUCACGUGUGGGAUUUUGUAUGUACCAUAUGAAUAAGGAUCGGCUAACUCCGUGCCAGCAGCCGCGGUAAUCCGGAGGAUCGGACGGUUAUCCGGAUUUAUUGGGGUUAAAGGGAACGUAGGCGGAGUUUUAAGUCAGCGGUAAAAUGUCCUGGCUAAACCCGGGCCGGCCGUUGAAACUGGGGAUCUUGAGUGGGCGAGAAGUAUGCGGAAUGCGUGGUGUAGCGGUGAAAUGCAUAGAUAUCACGCAGAACUCCGAUUGCGAAGGCAGCAUACCGGCGCCCGACUGACGCUGAGGCACGAAAGCGUGGGGAUCGAACAGGAUUAGAUACCCGGGUAGUC
RNAcentral lists this ribosomal RNA (459 nucleotides) under uncultured bacterium. RNAcentral's name for it is "partial 16S ribosomal RNA". It matches the Rfam family "Bacterial small subunit ribosomal RNA", at positions 338 to 795 of the family's 1533-position model. The record is from RNAcentral.